RNAcentral lists this unclassified non-coding RNA (206 nucleotides) under Hevea brasiliensis (rubber tree). The record is from RNAcentral. Lineage: Eukaryota; Viridiplantae; Streptophyta; Magnoliopsida; Malpighiales; Euphorbiaceae.
GUUGAGCAUAUGCAGCCACAUGAGAGUUGUCAUAGUCAAUGCCUCCUCCAUGAACCAAGCAAUUUUCAAGUAGAUCUUCUGGAUAUUUCUUUCUGAAGUGUUCUUCAACCAGCUCAUCAAUGAUAUCAACUCUCAAGCAAGUAUCAGCUUCAGAAUGAUGCUUCUUCAUAGUGUUAUUAAUGUUGAAAACCAAUUGAUCUUCACCA